RNAcentral lists this ribosomal RNA (495 nucleotides) under uncultured bacterium. RNAcentral describes it as "partial 16S ribosomal RNA". It matches the Rfam family "Bacterial small subunit ribosomal RNA", at positions 28 to 507 of the family's 1533-position model. The record is from RNAcentral.
GACGAACGCUGGCGGCGUGCCUAAUACAUGCAAGUAGAACGCUGAAGGAGGAGCUUGCUUCUCUGGAUGAGUUGCGAACGGGUGAGUAACGCGUAGGUAACCUGCCUGGUAGCGGGGGAUAACUAUUGGAAACGAUAGCUAAUACCGCAUAAGAGUAGAUGUUGCAUGACAUUUACUUAAAAGGUGCAAUUGCAUCACUACCAGAUGGACCCGCGUUGUAUUAGCUAGUUGGUGAGGUAACGGCUCACCAAGGCAACGAUACAUAGCCGACCUGAGAGGGUGAUCGGCCACACUGGGACUGAGACACGGCCCAGACUCCUACGGGAGGCAGCAGUAGGGAAUCUUCGGCAAUGGACGGAAGUCUGACCGAGCAACGCCGCGUGAGUGAAGAAGGUUUUCGGAUCGUAAAGCUCUGUUGUAAGAGAAGAACGAGUGUGAGAGUGGAAAGUUCACACUGUGACGGUAUCUUACCAGAAAGGGACGGCUAACUACGUG